Molecule: ribosomal RNA, 461 nt
Filed under: uncultured bacterium
Lineage: Bacteria
Description: bacterial SSU rRNA
Rfam family: Bacterial small subunit ribosomal RNA
Source: RNAcentral
GAUGAACGCUAGCGGCAGGCUUAACACAUGCAAGUCGAGGGGUAUAGUUCUUCGGAACUAGAGACCGGCGCACGGGUGCGUAACGCGUAUGCAAUCUACCUUUUGCAGAGGGAUAGCCCAGAGAAAUUUGGAUUAAUACCUCAUAGUAUGUGAGAAUGGCAUCAUUUUCACAUUAAAGUCACAACGGCAAAAGAUGAGCAUGCGUCCCAUUAGCUAGUUGGUAAGGUAACGGCUUACCAAGGCAACGAUGGGUAGGGGUCCUGAGAGGGAGAUCCCCCACACUGGUACUGAGACACGGACCAGACUCCUACGGGAGGCAGCAGUGAGGAAUAUUGGACAAUGGGCGCAAGCCUGAUCCAGCCAUGCCGCGUGCAGGAUGACGGUCCUAUGGAUUGUAAAACUGCUUUUGUACAGGAAGAAACACUGGUUCGUGAACCAGCUUGACGGUACUGUAAGAAUAA